Molecule: ribosomal RNA, 160 nt
Filed under: Sphagnum lapazense
Lineage: Eukaryota; Viridiplantae; Streptophyta; Sphagnopsida; Sphagnales; Sphagnaceae
Description: 5.8S ribosomal RNA
Rfam family: 5.8S ribosomal RNA
About the family: 5.8S ribosomal RNA (5.8S rRNA) is a component of the large subunit of the eukaryotic ribosome. It is transcribed by RNA polymerase I as part of the 45S precursor that also contains 18S and 28S rRNA.
Source: RNAcentral
AAACAACUCUCAGCAACGGAUAUCUUGGCUCUCGCAACGAUGAAGAACGCAGCGAAAUGCGAUACGUAGUGUGAAUUGCAGAAUUCCGCGAAUCAUCGAGUUUUUGAACGCAAGUUGCGCCCGAGGCUUGUCCCGAGGGCAUUCCUGCCUGAGCGUCACC